UAGCUUGUUGGUGAGGUAAUGGCUCACCAAGGCGACGAUCGGUAGCUGGUCUGAGAGGAUGGCCAGCCACACUGGGACUGAGACACGGCCCAGACUCCUACGGGAGGCAGCAGUGGGGAAUAUUGGACAAUGGGGGAAACCCUGAUCCAGCAAUGCCGCGUGUGUGAAGAAGGCCUGAGGGUUGUAAAGCACUUUCAGUGGGGAGGAGGAUUAACAGGUUAAGAGCUGGUUAAUUGGACGUUACCCACAGAAGAAGCACCGGCUAACUCCGUGCCAGCAGCCGCGGUAAUACGGGGGGUGCGAGCGUUAAUCGGAAUUACUGGGCGUAAAGGGUGCGUAGGUGGUUUAAUAAGUUAUCUGUGAAAGCCCUGGGCUCAACCUGGGAAGGUCAGAUAAGACUGUUAGACUAGAGUAUAGGAGAGGGUAGUGGAAUUUCCGGUGUAGCGGUGAAAUGCGUAGAGAUCGGAAGGAACACCAGUGGCGAAGGCGGCUACCUGGCCUAAUACUGACACUGAGGCACGAAAGCGUGGGGAGCAAACAGGAUUGGAUACCCUGGUAGUCCACGCCGUAAACGAUGUCAACUAGCUGUUGGUCAUAUAAAUAUGAUUAGUGGCGC
Molecule: ribosomal RNA, 616 nt
Filed under: uncultured Legionella sp.
Lineage: Bacteria; Pseudomonadati; Pseudomonadota; Gammaproteobacteria; Legionellales; Legionellaceae
Description: bacterial SSU rRNA
Rfam family: Bacterial small subunit ribosomal RNA
Source: RNAcentral